AAACGAUGUCUACUUGGAGGUUGUGGCCUGAGCCGUGGCUUUCGGAGCUAACGCGUUAAGUAGACCGCCUGGGGAGUACGGUCGCAAGAUUAAAACUCAAAUGAAUUGACGGGGGCCCGCACAAGCGGUGGAGCAUGUGGUUUAAUUCGAUGCAACGCGAAGAACCUUACCUACUCUUGACAUCCAGAGAACUUUUCAGAGAUGAAUUGGUGCCUUCGGGAACUCUGAGACAGGUGCUGCAUGGCUGUCGUCAGCUCGUGUUGUGAAAUGUUGGGUUAAGUCCCGCAACGAGCGCAACCCUUAUCCUUGUUUGCCAGCGAGUAAUGUCGGGAACUCCAGGGAGACUGCCGGUGAUAAACCGGAGGAAGGUGGGGACGACGUCAAGUCAUCAUGGCCCUUACGAGUAGGGCUACACACGUGCUACAAUGGCGCAUACAGAGGGCAGCAAGCUAGCGAUAGUGAGCGAAUCCCAAAAAGUGCGUCGUAGUCCGGAUUGGAGUCUGCAACUCGACUCCAUGAAGUCGGAAUCGCUAGUAAUCGUGGAUCAGAAUGCCACGGUGAAUACGUUCCCGGGCCUUGUACACACCGCCCGUCACACCAUGGGAGUGGGCUGCAAAAGAAGUAGGUAGUUUAACCUUCG
RNAcentral lists this ribosomal RNA (640 nucleotides) under uncultured bacterium. RNAcentral describes it as "bacterial SSU rRNA". It matches the Rfam family "Bacterial small subunit ribosomal RNA", at positions 804 to 1444 of the family's 1533-position model. The record is from RNAcentral.